UUCAAACAGAUCCAGCUGCUGAGGAGCAAGGAAGAAAUAUUGAAAGAUGCAAAUCAAUAUCUCAAAGAUAAGAUAUAGGAUACCGUUGAGAUUAGUAACUUUGCACCAAUGACCACUAAUACUCCAUAUCCACUAACUAUACAAAAUGAAAUAUUUGAGUUUUAAUUAGGAAUAGUGUGUGAUGGGCAUGCAGCAGUUCUUUCUGAGAUGUUUUGGCUCAGCAUUUGAGCUUCAUGAAUUGUUAUAAUUAAUAUCAAAUUAUAUAUAUGUCUAGGUUACCCAUUACAUGGA
Hevea brasiliensis (rubber tree) is the source of this 291-nucleotide long non-coding RNA. RefSeq lists it as uncharacterized. The transcript has 3 exons. Lineage: Eukaryota; Viridiplantae; Streptophyta; Magnoliopsida; Malpighiales; Euphorbiaceae. The record is from RefSeq and is a predicted model, not a curated record.